UCAUAUUACGAUGAUUGUAAUCGCUGAAUUAUUUAGUAGUCGGACAAGGUGAUUAGAAUAUCCGGUGUAGGCCGUAUAAUUUACCGGCCGGCGACUGCGGGAAUGUAGCCAAAUGUUGAAAAAAAAUAUUUUACAUAGGAAGCGAAUAAACUACUUGAUUAGAAUUUUUAAUUUCACGUUUUUCAGAUCUAUACGGAACACAUAGUAAAACGUUCUAAAAGUUUUUUUAUUUUUUUAUUAAAAUGUAGAGAAAACAUAAUAUUCGUAGAUAAGUAGUUUCGGGGACUAACAAGAAAAUCUCUAUACCUGAUAAACUCGAAGUAGAAAAAACUAGAGACCAGACAAUAAAAAUAUAUUAUAGGACAUUUUUACGAGGACGAUGUUUUAUCAAACGCGAAUAAUUCGUUCCUUCAAAUGUGAGUUGAAUAUUUUUACGAGAAUAUCGUAAAACUUCGACGAGGUCGUUUCCAUAUAGGACGUUGUCAUCUACACAUUUUAUAAUAUGACUUUUGUCUCUAAAUUCACGAGAGUGAUGAAUAAAUGAAAGAUGCAAUGUUUGUUUAAAACACGUGAAGAAUCUUUGAAACAGAUUUGACGGUUACGCAAUAAAACAUUUGAAUAUUUUCUUAACUGCCAGAUGAAUAUCUUAGCUUUGCACAGUGGCGAUAUCGUAACCAAUGAGAUCCAUCCGGGGUGCUAUUAUUGCUAAUUGAAAACUUUAAUAUUGUAUUUAAUUCCAAAAUCUUCGUUAAAAUUGCCUAUAUACAACCUCUUGAAUACUAAGCGUAUCAUCAUACGCUUGAUGACUUGUAGUAUAAAUACUCGACAGAAAAUUAAUUUUUAUUUUGUAAAUUAGAAUCGUAAGAAACGUUUAGGUUUCCCGGUGGAUUUUCAAUUUAAUAAUUAAACACCCACGGUGCAUUCAACGGACACGUCCCGUGUCGUCAUCGUAAAGUAUUUUUUAGCUAGUUGAUAACAGAAAACACAUUUUUGAGUUAUUUCAGAUACCAGUGACGUCAAACUAAUUUUUUGUAUUUGUGACAAUAAACAUUAAUUUAUACCCCACCUAUCUCUAGACGGUAUUAAAUUUAAGUCGUGAAGGGCAUAGACCCCCAAACCAACUACCACUAUCUUAAACUAUAAAAUAUUAUUUUCACAAAUUAUAUUAUUUACUGAAUAAUGUUUAUAUUGUUGCAUCAUUUAAUAUUUUAAUGCCUAAUAGGUACUUUAAUUUAAUAAGAUCAUUAGAAACCGAUAUUGAUAUUUAACAUAGGCAGGAAUACAUUGAUUUUACAAUGAUAUUUAUUUUAAAUAAUGAGCAUAGAGAGGGAUUUAUUGGUUUUAUUAUGAUGUGUGUUUUUAUAUUAUAAUUAUUGUUUUUUUAUGUCUGUGAACAACUUUUCUACCAAAAAUCUUGCUCCGAUAUAUGUAACACCGUGUGUAAAACUCUUUCUGAAAAGUAAUUUUGUCUAGUUAGUGCAUUAUAAACGUUAAUUUUUGAUUUUCUUAUGGGUUUUAAAAAUAAUUGAGAAAAACAUGGAAAAAAUUAUAGAUAAAACGGAAAAUAUUUACAGAACACCACGGCGUUAGGUUAAGUUAUAGGUUAGAUUUCAUUUAAUUUUGUAUACAUGAUAUUUUCUAUCAGAAUUAUUGCUCCAAUCGGAAAAUUACACGAGAGCGAUUUUGUUCCUUUUAACAUACGGCAAAUAAAAAAGAGAGCCGUUUUUUGAUAUCUAAAAUAUUCUUGAUAAUAAUUUAGGAAAAUCAAAAAAUACGAUUUUUUUCAAAUUACUACGCGACGAUUUCUUAAUUUAAAGUUUGUACGACUUAUGUUUUGAGUUUUCUAAUAAAAAUAUAUUUCCGAGAGAAAAGCGACAAGAGGCCUUUUUUUUAUUGAAUUCUUAAUUUGGUUAGCGAGUUAAAAAAUCUUUUUUUGAUUUUCCGUAUAUUUUUUUAAUAAUUGAGUAAAACCGAAAACAACAUAGAAAGGACGGGAAAGUUUACGAAAACAAUGCUUUUAAUAUUUUCAAUUUUGUUUUUUUAUAGCGGUUCAAUUAAAAAUAUUUGUCGAGACUUAAAAUUUAGACAGAGAACUUAUAUUUACUUUUUUUUAAGAAGUAAUACAAUUUUAAAAACAUUUAAGCCAUUUUUGAUCUAUAACUAAGUUAUUAAACAUUAUAAUUUUAGGAGAUUUUCAUAUAACUUUUAUUCGUUAGGUUUGAUACAAUUGUUAGACCAAACAGAAAUGCUUAACAAUUUAACAGAAGGUUCAUUAUAAGUUGUUAUUAGUGGCUAACAAGAAAAUGUUGAAUUUAAUGUAGUUUUUAUUUUAUAAGAAUUUUAAUUAUAAAAUUUGAUGAAAAUCGUAAAUAUUACCUACGACCUUUCAAACCAUGUAUAACUCUGUUCAGAAUAGUUUUUGUUGAUUGAUCGUUACGAACAGAUAUACACUGAAUUCCCAUUUUUAUCUUACCCUCCCAACUUCUCACCUUCAACCAGUAGCCCAUCCAUCUUGCGAAAUAUGUCCUUCUUAUCAAUAUAAAUAUAAUAAUAUGGUCAUUAUUUUUCGUUUGAUUAGCAUUAUAUUUUUUAUAUUUUGCCUUCUAA
Non-coding RNA from Cinara cedri, 2607 nucleotides. Lineage: Eukaryota; Metazoa; Arthropoda; Insecta; Hemiptera; Aphididae. The record is from the annotation of a GenBank genome assembly.